AUUCAUUCAAAUUUAUAUCUGAAAAAGUUUUGAUAAAUUCUGAGGAAAAGAAAAUGUACCGUCGGUGUACCUGAAGUAAAUUUAAAGAAUAUGACUAAGUUAUCAAUAUUGUACAGCAUAAUAAAACAUUUUUAAUUUGAAUUACUCUCCAUGAGGAAUAUUUUCCGAUGAUAAAAAAAAUAAUUAAUUAAAUCUGUCAAGUUUCUUUAAAAACGGAAAACAAUUCUUCACCGUGGACGAUUUACCCUCUUUAUUUUCUUGUCGGCAAACUGGACCUGGAGGUCGGCAAACUAUAUUUUACACAGGAAACUACAGAUGUUAGACCACAUGUACAAUAUAAGCGGAGCUGGAAAUUACAAUCGAUUCAUAUUGGCUUGAGCAUGAUUCCCACUUAGAAUAUGAAGCCUGCUACAUGUGCACUUUGAUGCAUAGGAAAUAUAGAUGUCACUGAGUCACUCUUAUAGCUUCAAAUUGUGAAACAGUGGAUUAAUUCAUUAUUUUGUGCUAGUUAUUUAUUGUUUUUGGAAAUAAUGAAUAGCACUUGUAGCAUUAUUCCAUGAUGAUGAUGACUUGUGAUGUUAGGAUUAAAUUGGACAAGAAAAAAAAUUGUGCAUUGUACAAAUAGGAACUUACAAAUUGUAUUAAAGGAGGACCACAGUACUGGAUGACUAAAUAACUUGGAUAAUCAUGAUAAUUAUUCAUUUGGUAUAUGGUAGUCGGUCACAGUUGUUAAGUGUCAAAUGACUGCUUGCUGUACUUAAAGUCUGAAUUAGAAUUAAAUAAAAAUCUAAAUUAGUGCCCAAGCAUAUUAAACAAAUAAACCAUGUA
Molecule: long non-coding RNA, 828 nt
Organism: Mytilus californianus (California mussel)
Lineage: Eukaryota; Metazoa; Mollusca; Bivalvia; Mytilida; Mytilidae
Exons: 2
Source: RefSeq, a predicted model, not a curated record